UGAAAGGUAAAGUCAACCUCGGUGGAAUUUGAACUCAGAACAUAAAGAUCCGGAAGAAAGGUUGCUAAGUAUUGUGUCCCACGUGUUAAUGAUUCUGCCA
Octopus sinensis (East Asian common octopus) is the source of this 100-nucleotide long non-coding RNA. RefSeq lists it as uncharacterized. NCBI's taxonomy places the organism in Eukaryota, Metazoa, Mollusca, Cephalopoda, Octopoda, Octopodidae. The transcript has 3 exons. The record is from RefSeq and is a predicted model, not a curated record.